GAACGCACAUUGCGCCCUUUGGUAUUCCGAAGGGCAUGCCUGUUCGAGCGUCAUUAUCACCCCUCGGGCCCCGUGCUCGGUGUUGGACGGCCGGUUCGGGUGACCGAACCCCUCCUAAAGACAAUGACGGCGGCCUGUGGUUCCCCCGGUACACUGAGCCUUUGGCACGUGCCGGACGAGGGCGCCCAGGACCCGGUCCUCUCCUCUCAGCAGGAAACUUUCUUAGGUUGACCUCGGAUCAGGUAGGAAUACGCGCUGAACUUAAG
RNAcentral lists this unclassified non-coding RNA (266 nucleotides) under uncultured Cladophialophora. Its description in RNAcentral is "sequence contains 5.8S rRNA gene". The stretch from base 1 to 53 matches the Rfam family "5.8S ribosomal RNA", at positions 102 to 154 of the family's 154-position model. Lineage: Eukaryota; Fungi; Ascomycota; Eurotiomycetes; Chaetothyriales; Herpotrichiellaceae. The record is from RNAcentral.